UACGUAGGACGCAAGCGUUAUCCGGAGUUACUGGGCGUAAAGCGCGGGCAGGCGGUCGGUCAAGUCUGAUGUGAAAUCUCUCCGCUCAACGGGGAGCAGCCAUUGGAAACUGGGCGACUGGAGUCUGACAGAGGUAGGCGGAAUUCCGGGUGGAGUGGUGAAAUGCGUAGAGAUCCGGAGGAACACCAGAGGCGAAGGCGGCCUACUGGGUCAGUACUGACGCUGAGGCGCGAAAGCCAGGGGAGCGAACGGG
Molecule: ribosomal RNA, 253 nt
Filed under: uncultured bacterium
Lineage: Bacteria
Description: partial 16S ribosomal RNA
Rfam family: Bacterial small subunit ribosomal RNA
Source: RNAcentral